AGGAUAGUAGUUAAUAAUAACAUUUAAUUUGCAUUUAAAAAAUAUUGAUUUAAUCAAUCUAUCUU
RNAcentral lists this transfer RNA (65 nucleotides) under Phaonia pallida. Its description in RNAcentral is "tRNA-Ala". It matches the Rfam family "tRNA". Rfam says of the family: Transfer RNA (tRNA) molecules are approximately 80 nucleotides in length. Their secondary structure includes four short double-helical elements and three loops (D, anti-codon, and T loops). Further hydrogen bonds mediate the characteristic L-shaped molecular structure. tRNAs have two regions of fundamental functional importance: the anti-codon, which is responsible for specific mRNA codon recognition, and the 3' end, to which the tRNAs corresponding amino acid is attached (by aminoacyl-tRNA synthetases). tRNAs cope with the degeneracy of the genetic code in two manners: having more than one tRNA (with a specific anti-codon) for a particular amino acid; and 'wobble' base-pairing, i.e. permitting non-standard base-pairing at the 3rd anti-codon position. Lineage: Eukaryota; Metazoa; Arthropoda; Insecta; Diptera; Muscidae. The record is from RNAcentral.